Molecule: non-coding RNA, 162 nt
Filed under: Acetivibrio ethanolgignens
Lineage: Bacteria; Bacillati; Bacillota; Clostridia; Acetivibrionales; Acetivibrionaceae
Description: GlcN6P sequence
Rfam family: glmS glucosamine-6-phosphate activated ribozyme aptamer
About the family: This entry contains a glucosamine-6-phosphate activated ribozyme that is found in the mRNA for GlmS.
Source: Rfam by way of RNAcentral
CUUUAAACGUUAGCGCCAUGUACCUUUCUGGAUCGGUUGGUAGGUUGACGAGGUGGAGAGCUUAUCGAAAAUUCGGCGGAUACUCUCCCGCGUACUUUGAACGUGUCAUAUACUGUUAAAACAGCAGGCAACUGCAACAUAGAGGCAGUAUGAUCAAAGAAU